AACCCAAAAGAUCGAAUGGGGAGAUUCAUCGUCAGCGAUGCUGGUACGUGUGCGGUUCGCGAUGCCGGAGACCUCGGUCUCGCGGCACGCGUCCGCAUGUUUUUUAUUGCCUGGUAUCGUCGGCGUGCACUUCUCCCCUAGUAGGACGUCGCGACCCGUUGGAUGUCGGUCUACGGCCCGGGUGGGUGCCUGUCUCGUGUGCGCCUCACGGCGUCACUGCGGGGCAGAUCCCCGGCUGCUCGACCUGCUGCCCGGCGGUACUCGCACGGUAUCUGGCCGCAAGUAUUCGAACUGCGUCCAGCCCGUCGCAAGCGAGGCAAGUGUUUCCCGRAUGUACGGAUCUAAUGCCGUCAUCGGGCCUGGCCAGCUGUUGGUUGACGGUGUCCUAGGACUGGCUAUAACAAUUAUGAUACCGGUCAGCGACGCUACCGCUUUGGGUACUUUCAGGACCCGUCUUGAAACACGGA
Molecule: ribosomal RNA, 467 nt
Filed under: Ortholaba tenuisi
Lineage: Eukaryota; Metazoa; Arthropoda; Insecta; Hymenoptera; Ichneumonidae
Description: eukaryotic LSU rRNA
Source: RNAcentral